This 514-nucleotide ribosomal RNA is filed under the name uncultured bacterium. RNAcentral's name for it is "bacterial SSU rRNA". It matches the Rfam family "Bacterial small subunit ribosomal RNA", at positions 791 to 1307 of the family's 1533-position model. The record is from RNAcentral.
UAGUCCACACCGUAAACGAUGGAAGCUAGCCGUCGGGUUGCAUGCAAUUCGGUGGCGCAGUUAACGCAUUAAGCUUCCCGCCUGGGGAGUACGGUCGCAAGACUAAAACUCAAAGGAAUUGACGGGGGCCCGCACAAGCGGUGGAGUAUGUGGUUUAAUUCGAAGCAACGCGCAGAACCUUACCUACCCUUGACAUCCCAGGACAAUCACAGAGAUGUGACUUUCUCUUCGGAGACCUGGUGACAGAUGCUGCAUGGCUGUCGUCAGCUCGUGUCGUAAGAUGUUCGGUUAAGUCCGGUAACGAGCGCAACCCUUAUCUUUAGUUGCCAGCAUUAAGUUGGGCACUCUAGAGAGACUGCCGGUGUCAAACCGGAGGAAGGCGGGGAUGACGUCAAGUCCUCAUGGCUCUUACGGGUAGGGCUACACACGUACUACAAUGGCAGAAACAGACGGCCGCAAAACCGCGAGGUCAAGCUAAUCCGUAAAACACUGUCUCAGUCCGGAUUGGAGUCUG